GGGUAAAUUAAAACAACUCGUAAUGGAUAUUUUUAAAGAUACUGGUCUGUUAUAUACACCGGAAAAUUGGAAAAGCUCUUUAUUCUCAAAAUUUAAGACAAUCGAAAAGAAAAUAAUUGUUUGGCAUUUAAACUGACGUAUAUUAUUUUUUAUACACUUGCUUUACUUUUAACGAGUGUUAUGAAUCUUUCUGAUAGUGUUUAUGAUAAAUCGGCAAGAAUAAUUCAAAAAGCUUAUCGUCAAUAUGUAACUGCUAGAGAAAAAUGUGAAUUAGACAAAAAUGGAAACCAAAGUUCUAGGUUUGAAAAUCAAACGAAUACUUCUGGGCAAUACAGCACACCUUCAAAAGUUUAUUUCGAUAGAAACGAAAAUAAAAAUUGCUCCUUAAACUUCUACAGUUCUAAGUGAGAUAUGAAACUGUAUGUAAUUUAAUUUAAAUUAUGAAAUAUGUACAACAUGCGCUCUUGUUUCAAUGUUUAGCUAAUUGAAAUACUGUGUGUACCUCUACUUGUAGUUAUAAUGCAAACAAAACAGUUAUUGAUUACUUAGAUUUGUGUCAGUUACACCUGAACACUUCAGGUAAACGAAACGUAUUAAGUAGAAGUUUCUUAAUCCAAAACGCGUGUACUAUUUUAAUAGUUAAAAAACGAGCUAAAACUAAUUUAAAAAAAUUAAAAGUUGGCUAUUUAUGACAUUAAAUAAUCAAAGUUCUAAUGGAUCAGUCUAUUGAAGAAAAAUCUGCAAGAAUAAUACAAAAUGUAUUCCGAAAUUAUCAAAAAAAGAAAAAAGUUUUUGAGAACAUCGACCGAAUAGACGAAAGUAGUAAUAUAUCUAGAAGUAUUAAGUCAGACUUAAAAUCCACAUUGGAACUUUUACAUGAGUAUAGAUCAAAACGAAAAGAACACUUUUCAGAAAGUCAAAUAAAAAAUUUAAUAAAUGGUGUAGAGCAAAUAGUUUCUUCUAUUAAAUCAUACCAAGCUCUUUGGUUUUCAUCUGAAAAUCAAACUGAUAACGCAGAAAGUAUUUAUGAACAAGAUAUUACAACACAAGCUAAAAAACGCCAUGAAGAAUUCUUAAAUUCAAAUAAGAAGAAAUGGUGGUAUUCGUUUAAUAAGCAAUUGCGAUGAAAAUUAUAUUUCUAUUAAUAAAUGAAAUUUUAUUGGACUACGAACCUUUAACAUUUGAGUGAACCUUUUAGAGCAUUUAAAAAUUUUUAGGAUAACUUAAUGUUUAAAAAACUUUUGCUAUAUGGUGUAUACAGGGACAUCUACCGACAACUGGUAAAAAAUGAAAAUAAGAUUAUUAGC
This is a long non-coding RNA of Agrilus planipennis (emerald ash borer), 1307 nucleotides long. RefSeq lists it as uncharacterized. The transcript has 3 exons. The record is from RefSeq and is a predicted model, not a curated record. NCBI's taxonomy places the organism in Eukaryota, Metazoa, Arthropoda, Insecta, Coleoptera, Buprestidae.